Molecule: small RNA, 458 nt
Filed under: Pongo abelii (Sumatran orangutan)
Lineage: Eukaryota; Metazoa; Chordata; Mammalia; Primates; Hominidae
Description: processed transcript
Source: RNAcentral
UGCUGGGGCAGUGUGGGGAGGAGCCUUCUCCCAUCCCAGGGGCUUCACGCAGCUUCCUUAACGAGGUUUCCCAGCUAUCAGAAGUGGAAACAGAAACAGAAAAUUGAUGAUCGUGACUCGGACGAAGAAGGGGCAUCUGACCGGCGAGGCCCAGAGCGAAGAGGUGGGAAGCGAGGCCGUGGCCAAGCAGGUGCAUCCCGGCCCCACGCCCCAGGCACCCCUGCAGGCCGUGUCCGCCCGGAACUCAAGACCAAGCAGCAGAUCCUGAAGCAGCGGCGCCGGGCCCAGAAGCUGCGCUUCCUGCAGCGUGGUGGCCUCAAGCAGCUCUCUGCCCGCAACCGCCGCCGCGUCCAGGAGCUGCAGCAGGGCGCCUUCGGCCGGGGUGCCCGCUCCAAGAAGGGCAAGAUGCGGAAGAGGAUGUGAGGACCAGGACCCAGCCCCUUGGCUCCUUGAUUGGC